GGCUCCCAGGCUGGGAGUAUGCAGUAUUCAGUUUGAAUUUUUGAAAGAAAGGGUUGAGAAUACAUUGGGCUUAUCUUGAUGAACUAAUAAUCCUUCUUUAGCAAUACCAGCCUAACCGAUUUAAAGGACAUAUGUUAGUAAUGGCUACAACUUCCUUUUAAACACAGGGAGUAUUGAAACAUAUUUGUAAGUCAAUGACAGCACCCUGUUACAGGUAGCUUGGCACUAAGUUGUAUUGUGAUGAAUCUAUACCUCAUCUAAUGAACUUCCUUAAGUGUGAGCCUCAGCUCCAAGCUCCUUCUCAGAAUACGUGUAGUCCUGCUUCGUGGUUGCAGAACUUGGAAUAGGGCGGGGUGGUCUUAGAAAGAAGCUGCUUUGUUCCAGUUGAAAUGGAGCCAUCACUCAACAGCUAUGAAAGGCAUCGUGGAGGGAAAAAGAUAGAAGUAAAUUCUAGCCCAGAGAAAGAUAUCAUGGCUUAGAAUUAGAUUUAAAAAAAAAAGAAGAAGAAAGAAAGGAAAAAAGAAAUAAAAGGAGAGAGAUCUAAAACUUCUUCUUGCUGAGAACCUACCUCCUGCUGUCUCUGGCAUCCUGACCUCAUCUCUGAUUUUCUUUAGUUGGAAGCAAGGAUGUCCACAGGAAAUUCCAAGGAUGUUUUGUCCUUCUAGCUGGUGAGCUAGGAAGAAGAGAGCAGCCUCACUCAACAUUCCUAUCCACCCCUCGGAGGGCUGUGGAUCAACCUUGACGGCAUUGAAUGCCCAUAUCAUCCCAACACUGUGUCCAAGAAGAAACGACCUUGCUUGUCAACCAUGAUCAUGUGGCCCUCACCGCAAGAAAGAAUGAGGGAGGGGAAGUAGUUGGGGCUGGGCAAUUUACAAAGGGCAAAAAUGCUGAGCAGACUAAAAAGGACAGAUGGACAUUACCACAGUCCAUAGACUGUGAGUAAUAAUACACUCCCCCCUCCCUUUUUUUUUCUUUUUCUCACUCAUUCAGUCAUGAGAACAUGCUUAAAUUUCACUUUAGGUCAGGUACUUCAAGAGUAAUACACCAGUGAACUUUAAAGCUUAGUAGUAGCUUAUAAUCCCUCCUCUUGUUUUUGUGUGUUGCUGUUUGCAGUGAUCAUAUAACCCUCCAAAAAUAAUGCCAACUCUAUUUUCAUUGUAUAGUUCAGUUUACUUUCCCUACAUACACAUUCAUUCAGCCAAUGUUUGUUGAACAAGUACAA
Long non-coding RNA from Mustela erminea (ermine), 1222 nucleotides. RefSeq lists it as uncharacterized. Lineage: Eukaryota; Metazoa; Chordata; Mammalia; Carnivora; Mustelidae. The record is from RefSeq and is a predicted model, not a curated record. The transcript has 4 exons.